UACGGGGGGGGCAAGCGUUGUUCGGAAUUACUGGGCGUAAAGGGCUCGUAGGCGGCCAACUAAGUCAUACGUGAAAUCCCUCGGCUUAACCGGGGAACUGCGUCUGAUACUGGAUGGCUUGAGUUCGGGAGAGGGAGGCGGAAUUCCAGGUGUAGCGGUGAAAUGCGUAGAGAUGCGGAGGAACACCGAUGGCGAAGGCAGCCCCCUGGGUCGACACUGACGCUCAGGCACGAAAGCGUGGGGAGCAAACAGG
This 253-nucleotide ribosomal RNA is filed under the name uncultured bacterium. Its description in RNAcentral is "partial 16S ribosomal RNA". It matches the Rfam family "Bacterial small subunit ribosomal RNA", at positions 524 to 776 of the family's 1533-position model. The record is from RNAcentral.